CCGAAGCGUGUUGUUCUCCAGAACCUGUUCAGGACUAGGAGAGCAGUGCAGGGCCCCCAGGGUGAGCUGCUCCCGGAGACGCUGGACACAGGCUGAGCCGGCGUCCAGGAGGUAGGCAGAGGCCGUCCUCUCCCGAGCCAGGGAACGAGCUGUGAGAAGGGGCUGCUGCAGUCCCUCCAUGCUGACCGUCUCAGCCCGAGUUCAGCCAGGAGAGGGACAGCCCUCGUCACCGUGUGACAUGUUUACUUCUAGCCGAGGAAAAUACCGCCGCUGCGGCUGCCCUUCCCUGCGCAGGCACUGGCCUGGAGACGGAUAUUUUAUGUCUUCCUUUGAUGAUUUACAAAUAAAUUAGUGCGAUCGAGAAGGUCUGCCAGCAUCUAUGCGUACGGGAAACCCAAGACGGUGAAAAAUGAUCGUGAUUUACCGUAUCCCGAUACUUCCUUCUUAAGAACCAAAUAAAUAUCAUCGGCUAGUUUAUGGAGCUGACAUAUUUAUUGCAGAAUUCCCGCCGGAGGACUUCCCAUUGUCCUGUGUUCUCACACAUUGUUUUCACAAAUUGUGGCUUGAAGGAAGGCAGGGAAAUUCAGGCUGGAGAAGCAAGAUGUUAUCUUUUGGAAAGGAUGCGCCUCUCUAACGGGACAGGAUAAUCCAUUCAGAGGCUGGAAAGCCCAGUCCUCCGGGGGUGUGAUAAAUCCACAGGAUCUGGAAUCUGGGACUGCUUUGGGACCUUGAAGUUAGCUGGGACAACUUAGCCCCGGCCCAGACAAACAGUGUAUCCUUCUCGCCGGAUAAGCGCAGACAGCUGUGCACUCCGGUUUGCCCUGUUUUCCUUACAGGCGAUUGCAUUCACGGAGGCCGAUCUCCUCACGUCCAUCAGCAGUGGGCUAGGCGCCUGAUGCCAACCUGGGCCCGUGCGGCUCUGUGAUUGGAAAUCGGUUUCCAACAGGGACGGGGCUCCUGCUCCUUGCAGGUGGGACCUGUGCAUGGAGAGCGAGGCAGAGCAGGGUCACUCGUGACUACCAGAGGACCAUGCUGUCCUCAGAAGGUCAGAGUAGGACAGCUGGCAUCGCCGGUACAGAACUCACGUCUUGAGUGGGAUCCAAGCAGCUCCUCACCCUCCCCGCUCCUAACGCGCCUGGCACCCUCUGAAGCCACCCAGGUGCCCCUAUCUGUGCAAGCGCCUUUGGCCAGGCUGCAUCGGAAGCCUGCAGCAGUGGCAGCUUUGAGGGACAGGAGAGCAGCUCGCCCCAGCUCUCCUGUUGCUAGUUGCCCGAGUUUCCCCAAGAUCACACCCACACACCCGGCCGGAGCAACCCAGCCAGGCCUGGGGAGGGAGCCGUCUUUCUGGGACAGUGUCCAGUCGUUCCGUCGUUCGUUCCGUCCCAGCCAAGCACCUGCGCGGCCGAGCUGGUUCUCAGGUGUUCACAGACUGACUGUGGCUGCUGUCGGGCCUGUCCUUGGAAAACCCCACGUCCCCCGUUCUCUGUGCUGCUCCUGGAGCUGAAAGCCGCCUCACUGAGUCUGCGGACAGCCUGAUGGGCCCCAGGACCUGCGUGUGCUGUUCCGCCUCCUCGGUCAGCAGCGAGACGCCUGCAGGGGCCGUUCUUCUGGCUUGGGAGGGACUCGAGCCGCUGCCCAAACCUUCACAGCUGCAUUUAGCAGUCGAAGGAAGGUGAUGGGAAGCCACACAGAGCCCCUCAGCACCAAGCUUUGCUGCCUGUUUGGUGCUGGUGGAGUCAACUGCACGGGCCCAAGUGUCACUGAGCUGCAGACAGCUCGGACCUCUCCAGAGAGCCCGCCAGGACGGCAGGCAUGGAAAACAGGGCUUCUCCCACCUGGCUCCCACGGGCCGAGGCGGAGGGUGCCUACCCCAGUGUGUAGCCCCCCUCGGUUUAAUGUUUCUCUGUCCACAAACAAGAAUCGUUUUCUAAACCACUGCCUCAGCUUACUUUAAAAGGUCCCAGGACAAAAGUCCUAGGUGAGCCCAGACCCCAGUCUGAGGUGUGGACUGAGAAAAAUAUUGUACAAUCAAAACAGAACAAGUGCUGGGUGAGAAACAGCAAUGAUCUGACUGAGAAAGUUAGCCAGCGUUGUUAAAGAGACUGUUACAUACGACCUUUUUCUUUCCUGUGUUUUUUGGAGACAG
RNAcentral lists this long non-coding RNA (2146 nucleotides) under Heterocephalus glaber (naked mole-rat). RNAcentral describes it as "lncRNA (ENSHGLG00100050586.1)". Lineage: Eukaryota; Metazoa; Chordata; Mammalia; Rodentia; Bathyergidae. The record is from RNAcentral.